GAUGAACGCUAGCGGCAGGCCUAACACAUGCAAGUCGGACGGUAACAUAGAGUGCUUGCACUCUGAUGACGAGUGGCGCACGGGUGCGUAACGCGUAUAGAACCUACCCUGUACAGGGGGAUAGCCCAUGGAAACGUGGAUUAAUACCCCGUAGAUAUCGUAAGUGGCAUCACUUAUGGUUUAAAGUCUUCGGGCGGUACGGGAUGGCUAUGCGUCUUAUUAGUUAGUAGGUGAGGUAACGGCUCACCUAGGCAGCGAUAAGUAGGGGCCCUGAGAGGGGGAUCCCCCACACUGGUACUGAGACACGGACCAG
RNAcentral lists this ribosomal RNA (313 nucleotides) under uncultured bacterium. RNAcentral describes it as "bacterial SSU rRNA". It matches the Rfam family "Bacterial small subunit ribosomal RNA", at positions 28 to 334 of the family's 1533-position model. The record is from RNAcentral.